This 253-nucleotide ribosomal RNA is filed under the name uncultured bacterium. RNAcentral's name for it is "partial 16S ribosomal RNA". It matches the Rfam family "Bacterial small subunit ribosomal RNA", at positions 524 to 776 of the family's 1533-position model. The record is from RNAcentral.
UACGUAGGGCGCAAGCGUUAUCCGGAAUUAUUGGGCGUAAAGGGCUCGUAGGCGGUUUGUCGCGUCGGGAGUGAAAACACUGGGCUUAACUCAGUGCCUGCUUUCGAUACGGGCAGACUAGAGGCAUGCAGGGGAGAACGGAACUCCUGGUGUAGCGGUGGAAUGCGCAGAUAUCAGGAAGAACACCAACGGCGAAGGCAGCUCGCUGGGACGGUACUGACGCUGAGACGCGAAAGCGUGGGGAGCGAACAGG